This 851-nucleotide unclassified non-coding RNA is filed under the name Hevea brasiliensis (rubber tree). Lineage: Eukaryota; Viridiplantae; Streptophyta; Magnoliopsida; Malpighiales; Euphorbiaceae. The record is from RNAcentral.
AAAAAAAACCCUAAACCAUUCCUCCACUCUACUCUCUUUUUUUUUUCUUCGACGAUCAAUCGAUCAUGGAGUCUCCUUCUCUCCUCCCGCUUCCUGGCAGUUUACUUCAGUUACCAUGGGGACAUGCCCAUGUUGGUAUUUCCUGUGGAUUAGAUUGCGAAAUAGGGUCCUCUAGUUUACAAACCCAAUACAAGAAAAGAAGAAUAUCUCCAAACAAUGAUAAAUCAUAUGAACUUUUAAAAAAGGUUGAAUCUUCAUUACCCAUAUUGCACUCAACAGAUUAUUAUAUGGAACCUGCCCUGACUGAUUUGGCUGCCCAAGAGCUCGUGGAUCCUGGUUAUUGCAGCCGAGUUCCAGAUUUCACUGUUGGGAGAUUAGGUUAUGGACGUGUCAAGUUUCUUGGCAUGACUGAUAUUAGGGGGUUGGAUUUGGAUCAGAUUGUGAAGUUUCAUAGGCAUGAAAUAGUAGUUUAUAAAGAUGAAACUGCUAAGCCUCCAGUUGGACAAGGCCUUAACAAGCCUUCUGAAGUGACUUUGACUCUACAGAUAAGAAUAUCAGAUUUCCAUGAAGGGCGGGUCAAAAAUUUUGUGGAGAAAUUGAGGGGGAGUACAGAGAGACAGGGGGCUUAUUUCAUUUCAUUUGACCCAGCAAUUAGUGAAUGGAAGUUCUCAGUUCGCCAUUUCAGCAGAUUUGGAUUGAGUGAUGAUGAUGAGGAAGAUAUUAUAAUGGAUGAUGUUGUAGCAGUUGAAGAACGAGUUGAGAUGAAUGCUGGUGAGACUUCAGAGACAAAUGAAGAAACCCAAUUGGAAUUAGAACCCACUGGAACAAUGCUUUAUCAUUCUCUUCCAGCG